GUGACAUCUGUCGGAAUUCCCGGCGGCAACGGAGCAAUCCCAGAAGUGGAACGUCGUGGAUAUAGACUAAUGAAAAAGUGACCAGGGUGCUUAUUCAGAUAUGAGGCAGACAUGUUAAACCGCCAUCAGAUUAAUGUAAAGGUGUGCAUUGCCGAAAGGGGCUUAGAAUUCUCAUACAAUUGCGUAAAACCCAGUCAAUCUCAUAGCCUUUAUAUCAGAGUAUAUUUUCACUGAUUUCCCAAGGCUCUAAAGACCAGCAGCUUGUUUUCCCAAAAGUAUCUUAAUGUUGAGAUAAUUGUCAAAUUAAUUUCAUGCAGCUUGUUCUAAGUGCAGGUUGUUUUAGGUCCCAGUAAACCCAUUUAGUGGUAAUAAACUGGAGAAGUAGCUGACGUGUGCAAGUGUGCUUUUGUUCCCUCUUGCGUUGAGUUGAACUAUGAUGCACUGUGCUAUGUCACGUUUUUAGAGGAUGUCAUGGGGAAACAAAAAUGCAAUGCAACAAAUCACAAUGCUGAAGGAAAGUAAUUAAUCAAAACGAGCUUGAGCACUAAGACAAAAGGUAUCUGGGAAAUACUCUGUACACAAGAAAUGUCAAGAUCCAAACAGCAUUUUGCCAAGAAAUUCACUGAGUGCAUUCAUGCUGCGAAGAGAAUUGACCUUUACUAGAUUACAAACAAGAUAUCACAAAUUUAAAUCUUGUUUUUCCUUCAUGCUGUGGAUUUCUUUGGUCCACAGAGGUCAAUCCCAGUAGCACCAACAUCAGGAUCAACAUCAAAAUCUAUCAGGCAGAUUACUGUGAAAUUGACAGAUUUGGGCUGUUUUGUGGUCUUACUAAUACUGUAUCACCCCCCUGGUGGCUGGCUGCAGUACAGGUCAUAAAUCCCGCCCCUCCUUGUUAGCGUAUGAGACAUGGGCCAAACUAAAAAGAACAAAAGUACAAUUCAAAUACAUUUUUCCCAAAGUUGGUUUGCGGCAGUUAAGGUAUAUUACGCUGAUCAUGCUGUUUGCUCAAGUGUUCUGAUUAGUUUGGUUUUUAUUAGUUAUUUUAAGAAGAAACAAAACGGGUUGAAACAUUAUGAUUGACAGCUAUGAUUGACUCGCAAUUGGUCGUGUGGGUGUAUGGGCGGGACUUUCAUACCGCAGCUCCACCGCCCGAUCAGACUCUGGCUCCAAAAUUACAAGAUGGCGGCGCCUGUAUCCGAGGUAUUUUGGCUUCACUUUUGUACAGUGGGAGAAAGUAGAGACGCGGCGUCCAUCUUUAUAUACACUCUAUGGGAACAACUGCAUUGGCCGUUUGCAGCUAAAAAAACAUGGUUCAGCAGUGAAUUGUGCGCAAAUGAUGCAAGGUGAAAAAUAAGCUUCGCUGUCUGUCUCAACACACAUUUACACCAACAUUUCCACUUUCACACAAGAUAUAUAAUAAUGUAACAGACAUUUACUGAACACUGCUCCUCAGAGGAUUAACCCUUUUAAAUGCGUUGACACAGUGUGUCAUUGUUAUAUAGAGUUAUAUAGUGUCAUCCUUUGGUCAAUAUUUUCAUUUUUAGCUGGCAGAAAGAGAGAAUAGCACUUUUUGCAUUCAAUUUUAGGAGGUGUAGUGAACGAAGAUUUGAUCUAUAAUGGCCAUAGAUGGAUGGAUGGAAGAUAGAUAGAUUGAUUGAUUGAUUGAUUGAUUGAUUGAUUGAUUGAUUCCUGGCUUCAUCUAACCACUACACCUCUUUAUCCAUUUUUCUGGGUUUUGUUUCCUCAGUCUUUUCUCACCAGAUUGCCUCCCCCACCUUUUUCCAUCUGUGUGUGUGUGUGUGUGUGUGUGUGUGUGUGUGUGUGUUUGUGAGCAGUUGGCCUACAGCAAACACACUUCAUGCCAAACCAUCUGGGCCUUAAAUCUGUCCAACACAAAAAACGCUUUAGUUGCAAAACUAACACACACACACACACACACACACACACACACACACACACAUAUGCAUACACUGAUGGUUGGAGUUAAUUCCGAUUAUGUUUUGACUCCUUUUUUUUAUUUUAUUAAUAGUCUGUAACUAUAUAUGUCAUCUGAAGUGUUCUGUAUCUGAUGUUUUGCACAAAGCUUCCUCACAUUUGUGCCAAAAAAGAUGAGGACAUUUCAAUAAUUCAGUGUUUUUUUUUCUCUGUUGAAAGUAGAUGCAGCAUUCACUUCCGUACAUUGACUUUGCAUGCAUACUCACAGCGCCAUCUUUAAAAUAUUAAUGAAUCUGUGCUCCCAAAAACAUCUCAAGUGGAGUCCUCCUCCUUCCUGUUGAUGAAGUCUUCGUAGGUGGCUUUCUUUCUCUUUGUCCCCACCACACUUCUUCUCUCCUCAUUCCCAACAAAAUGAACAUGUAAAAUGCAUCACAGCACAGAGGAUUUUCCCAGGACACGCCUCACAGACACUCACUGAAUUUUUAUUACUGUAAUAUCCACUCCGAUCCCCAGAGUCAAAUAAUGUCUUCUUCUUUUCCAGCCGCAUUUUCACACAUGCAAACGUAGACGAUGGAAGUGUGAAAAAGGGAUGUACAGAUGGAAGAAGAGAGAAGGUUUAGGCCAUGAGUGGUGAUAAAGAGAGAAUAGUCUGGUUAAUUUGGUGUCAGGGUAUUGACUAUGUUCUCUGUGCCGCCUGGCUUGGUUGUAUUGUUCACACAGAGUGAUUGGGGAAUUGUGUGUGUGUAUAUGUGUGUGUAUGUUUCUGUGUGGUAAAGUACAACAGCACUGCAGAAAAUUACCUUGUAGGCUCCUGGCGGUUGUCUGCAGCAUGAAAGGAGCCUCCCUUUUCUUCUCUUGCCUCCUUCCCGUCAUUAGGGUGUGCACUGCGUCUAAAAUGGCAGGUGUAAGUGGUAACUGUGUGUGUGUACUUGCAUGCUUGCUUUAUGUAAUAAUGUGUGCUUGCUCGCUGGGUGCUAAAGCAGUGUGUACUCAUUGUUCUGGCAUCGCGUUCCCUCUUGAUACACCUCUCCGGCAACAUUUUCUUUUCAUAAACACUCGUAUAGCUUCUCCUAAACACAAAACAGCUGCUCUUUUUCCCCUCUUUUCUUUUCUUUCUAUUUCCUCUUUGUCUAUGCAAUCCCUCUCUAGCACAUUUAACAUGCCAGCUUCACCUUUUUUUAAUUCCUCUCUCUGUCUCGUGGGUGCUUAUCAGUAUCGUUCACGUUUUCCCUGCUUUACCAGAGCAGUCAAGGUAUUUGCAUUUCAAAUGAGAAAUGUACUUGUCUGACAUGCAAAUUAUUGGAUGUGAAUCAUGCAUCUAUAGCAGGCUGCUAACAUAGCAGCAGGACCUGCCCAAACCAACGCACUGAAACACUGAAAAGGCAGGGAGGAUGUUUGAGGAUUCCACUAGACCAUUAUCAUGGUAAAUGCAGCCAUUUUGGGUAUCACAGGUAGUGUUGGACGUCAGUGCCCAUUUUAUUUUAUUUUAGCUUUAAGCUGCCAUUUGCCAAUUUUUUGUGCUUAUUCAUUAUCUUAACUCAAUAGUCCACCAAAGUCCCCCCAUUGGCUCUGAAAAGGUUGCUUUUAUAAAGAAAAGGCAUCUGCUUUCAAAUUUUCAGUGGCGACCCAGAAAAAGAACGUGUCACAACACAUCAAAAUAAGAAUAAAUUUGUCAAAUCACUCCUGCCGCAUAAAUUAGCCUACUUGUCUGUCAUUCAUCUUGAAGUUCCAAACAAUUGUUUUUGCUAGAAAAUGACUGUACAGCAUACGCUACUGAGGUUGUCAGCAGACAAGAGUUUUGCAAUCUGACAAAUCUGACAAAAGUCUCAGGGUUGGAACAUGCUCCCCCUGACGCACGUAACUGAACAGGCAUGCGGCCAUUUGGAGAUGUUCGCAUGGCUUUCUUUUAAACUUUUUUAUUGGCUUCUGCUACUCUGUAGAUCCUGUGCGACUAAAUCGUGAUUUAUGCUUCUGCGAAGGCUCCACGCAGAGCUUUCACUGUAGCCUACGUAAGUUUAUACUAUGUGCGUUGGUCUGUGCGUCGAUGUCUUUAAGAGAAUAGCAGGGCCGGCAUGUGUGUGUGUGGGGAGUGUGUGGUAGAGCGAGUGAGAGAGUGACGGCAAUUAGCUUCAGAGCAAGUAGCGACUCUAGAGGCAUAGUGAGAGAAACAAAGUGUCCCCUGCAGAGGCCUUAAAGUGUAUCUUCAGAGAACCUUAAUUCAAGACUAAUCAGACAUACAGAAAUGUGUGGCUUAAACUUAUUUUAGACUCUUAGCCCAAACCAUCAUUGACUCCCAUUUAAAAAAAAAA
Long non-coding RNA from Sander lucioperca (pikeperch), 4244 nucleotides. RefSeq lists it as uncharacterized. NCBI's taxonomy places the organism in Eukaryota, Metazoa, Chordata, Actinopteri, Perciformes, Percidae. The transcript is spliced from 2 exons. The record is from RefSeq and is a predicted model, not a curated record.